ACUCCUACGGGAGGCAGCAGUGGGGAAUAUUGCACAAUGGGCGCAAGCCUGAUGCAGCCAUGCCGCGUGUAUGAAGAAGGCCUUCGGGUUGUAAAGUACUUUCAGCGGGGAGGAAGGCGAUAAGGUUAAUAACCUUGUCGAUUGACGUUACCCGCAGAAGAAGCACCGGCUAACUCCGUGCCAGCAGCCGCGGUAAUACGGAGGGUGCAAGCGUUAAUCGGAAUUACUGGGCGUAAAGCGCACGCAGGCGGUCUGUCAAGUCGGAUGUGAAAUCCCCGGGCUCAACCUGGGAACUGCAUUCGAAACUGGCAGGCUAGAGUCUUGUAGAGGGGGGUAGAAUUCCAGGUGUAGCGGUGAAAUGCGUAGAGAUCUGGAGGAAUACCGGUGGCGAAGGCGGCCCCCUGGACAAAGACUGACGCUCAGGUGCGAAAGCGUGGGGAGCAAACAGGAUUAGAAACCCCAGUAGUCCCAU
This 472-nucleotide ribosomal RNA is filed under the name uncultured organism. Its description in RNAcentral is "partial 16S ribosomal RNA". It matches the Rfam family "Bacterial small subunit ribosomal RNA", at positions 335 to 798 of the family's 1533-position model. The record is from RNAcentral.